GUGUCAGCCGCCGCGGUAAAACGUAGGACGCAAGCGUUAUCCGGAAUUACUGGGCGUAAAGGGCGUGCAGGCGGUCUUUUAAGUUAGGCGUGAAAGCUCCCGGCUAAACCGGGAGAGGUCGUCUGAUACUGGGAGACUAGAGUAUGGUAGAGGCGUGUAGAAUUCCGCGUGUAGUGGUGAAAUGCGUAGAGAUGCGGAGGAAUACCAGUGGCGAAGGCGGCACGCUGGGCCAUAACUGACGCUAAGACGCGAAAGCAUGGGUAGCGAACGGGAUUAGAAACCCCGGUAGUCCAUGCCGUAAACGAUGUACACUGGGUGUUUGGGUCGGUACGCCGGUCUGAGUGCCUAAGCCAACGCGCUAAGUGUACCGCCUGGGGAGUACGGUCGCAAGGCUAAA
Molecule: ribosomal RNA, 397 nt
Filed under: uncultured bacterium
Lineage: Bacteria
Description: bacterial SSU rRNA
Rfam family: Bacterial small subunit ribosomal RNA
Source: RNAcentral